Molecule: ribosomal RNA, 274 nt
Filed under: uncultured bacterium
Lineage: Bacteria
Description: partial 16S ribosomal RNA
Rfam family: Bacterial small subunit ribosomal RNA
Source: RNAcentral
AUACGGAGGGUCCAAGCGUUAUCCGGAAUCAUUGGGUUUAAAGGGUCCGCAGGCGGUCAAUUAAGUCAGAGGUGAAAGCCCAUCGCUCAACGAUGGAACUGCCUUUGACACUGGUUGACUUGAGUUAUACGGAAGUAGAUAGAAUAAGUAGUGUAGCGGUGAAAUGCAUAGAUAUUACUUAGAAUACCGAUUGCGAAGGCAGUCUACUACGUAUAUACUGACGCUGAGGGACGAAAGCGUGGGGAGCGAACAGGAUUAGAAACCCUAGUAGUCC